GCAGCCGCGGUAAUUCCAGCUCCAAUAGCGUAUAUUAAAGUUGUUGCAGUUAAAAAGCUCGUAGUUGAACCUUGGGCCUGGCUGGCCGGUCCGCCUCACCGCGUGUACUGGUCCGGCCGGGCCUUUCCUUCUGGGGAGCCGCAUGCCCUUCACUGGGCGUGUCGGGGAACCAGGACUUUUACUUUGAAAAAAUUAGAGUGUUCAAAGCAGGCCUUUGCUCGAAUACAUUAGCAUGGAAUAAUAGAAUAGGACGUGUGGUUCUAUUUUGUUGGUUUCUAGGACCGCCGUAAUGAUUAAUAGGGAUAGUCGGGGGCGUCAGUAUUCAAUUGUCAGAGGUGAAAUUCUUGGAUUUAUUGAAGACUAACUACUGCGAAAGCAUUUGCCAAGGAUGUUUUCAUUAAUCAGUGAACGAAAGUUAGGGGAUCGAAG
This 429-nucleotide ribosomal RNA is filed under the name Craspedostauros australis. Its description in RNAcentral is "partial Eukaryotic small subunit ribosomal RNA". It matches the Rfam family "Eukaryotic small subunit ribosomal RNA", at positions 570 to 1003 of the family's 1831-position model. The record is from RNAcentral. Lineage: Eukaryota; Bacillariophyta; Bacillariophyceae; Mastogloiales; Achnanthaceae.